Long non-coding RNA from Callithrix jacchus (white-tufted-ear marmoset), 2886 nucleotides. The record is from Ensembl. Lineage: Eukaryota; Metazoa; Chordata; Mammalia; Primates; Cebidae.
CAGCCCCUGGGCUUCCACUGAAACUAAUACUGGAUCCAACUUUUAACACUGAUAAUAUGUUGCCACCAAAUUGAAAACGUAAACAAGAUAUUCUAAGUGUGAUUAGAGUAUAUGCAACACAAGGAAGAAGCAGAACAUUCUUUUCCGGAAUCUGACAACGUGGCCGCAGUGUUUUUACUGGGAACAUUGAUUUCAGAUGUAUGUGAAAUACAAUAAACCGAAAACUAGAGACAGAUGAGACAGAGAGAGGUUAAUUAGAAAAAGAUUAUGGUAUCUAAGCAAAAUCUAGCCUCCUAGGCCCACCUUAAUCCCUCUUAAAUCCCCCAUCCCAACUCUGUUAACUAGUUAUCGUUCUCUUCUGAAGAGAUCGCACCUUCCUUGUGGUUCUCAGGGAUCCUCCCCAGCUCUUACUCUACUCCCCAUCCCGCGCACUGGGAUAGCCCCAUGCCCAUGUCCUUCCCCGCAGGCAGUGUUUCCAGCGAGGUGGUCCCACUGAACUUCUAGGGAUUUGGGGCAGAAAGCGAAUAUCCCAGAGUCCCAGAGCCCACGGGAGUUACUCUGGAGGGCCAGCCACAGAGGCGCACCAGUGGGUAACCAGCCACCUCCCACCACCCACCACCCGGAGGCUGGGCCAGCCCCUUUUUUCCGGACUCGGGAUCGACCUGGAGCUCCGAGAAUUUUCCUGGCCCAGUCAAGCAUGAAAAGGGUUCGCCGAUCUCGAGAAGCCAGAGAACCAGGGCUGCAGGCACCUCCCCGCCUGCUCUCCCGCUCCUGGCACAACCGUCUGACCAGCCUGCCGAGCCCCACCGCCCGCGCCGCGCCCCCGGCCGCCCCCGGCGCUCCCCGGCUCCUGCGGGCAGCGCUGCUGCUCCUGCUCCUGGUCGCCGCCGGCCAGCGUGCCGCAGGAGAAUCCGUGGUCAAUGAACUGAGCUGCCAAUGCUUGCAGAUCCUGCAGAGAAUUCACCGCCAAGAACACGUGAAAUGUGAACAAGUCCCCAGGAUCCCACUGCGCCCAAACCGAAGGCACUUAAGUCCCGCCGCACCCUCCCGCUGCCAACGCUGGGGUCUUAGACCUUCCGGCCGCCCCACCCUGUGUGGAACCCGACCUCCUGUCUCACGGGAUCCCCUUCUCUCAGCAGAACCACAUUCAAGAAUGAGCAGAAAGCUUGUCUGAACCCCGCAUCCCCCGUGGUUCAGAAAAUCAUCAAAAAGAUGCUGCGCAUCUUUUUUCCAUGUACACAGACGACCAGAGCCAUUGGUCAGAAAUACUGGCAUCUGCCCUCUAAAAAUAAAAUCAAGGAAACCCAGGGGUUAGCUGAAGGACUAGAAAUUGUGAUUAUUAUUUUCACAAUUAAAUUUGCCGUUAAGAUUAUUAAUCUGCUCUGGUGCCAGAGGAUAUUUCAGUAUUUCAGUGUCCUCCUUUCUCAGGUCUAAGCCCUACUGAAAUAAGUGAGGGUAAAUAUAUAUUUCUUUCUUUUUUUAAAUAUAUAUAUUUUAUUGUGUUUUAGGUUUUGGGGUACAUGUGAAGAAUAUGCAAGAUAGUUGCACAGGUACAUGCAUGCAUGGCAAUGUGGUUUGCUGCCUUCCUCCUCAUCACCUGUAUUUCUAAAACAUUAAGUGAAUUUGGCUAAUGAUGCUAAAAUGCCUUCUACCUAUUUCAGGAUAAUGUUUAUCUCACUCCCUAACGGGCUUCAGACCUGAAAACUGAAUCUCCCUGAUUUGAGGCACAGUGGAACUCUUAAGUCUUCAUGGUGAAGAGUAGAGACUUUGCAGUAAGACCCUCACGAGUUGUUCGAGGCUCUAUGUCUUAGUAUCCUGAGUCUUAACAAACUGUGAAAACAAUAAAAACUACUUCAAAAGGUUUGCUAUAAACCUUAUGUGAGGUCAUGCAUGUAGAUUUUUAACCCAUUUAUAACCUUUGUUUCACUUUUUGAAGCAAAUAAUACAGUUGUAAUCACAGAUCCUCUAUUUCUAGUUAAAUAGUAUCCAGAAGCCUGGGGUUUUAUUUUGCUACACAGAACAACUCUCAUACCGGUAAUAACCACUUAGUGAGGGGCUAGAAGGAACGACCACGUUUGAAAAACCAUAGAAGGUAAGGAUCUAAGGCAGGAACAGGUGUCUGCAUGGUCAGUUUCUUGAGUAGCUACUGACAGCUAUCAUUUUUUCACCACAGGGGCAACACCAACUGACCUAGAGGGAAGGAGGAAGCAUAUCAGCUGCAAUUCCUAAAGGAGGUCUAUUCUUAGAGGAAUCAAAAUGAAAGAGAAAAAAAUUAGUUCCUGGGCACACCUGGACUUUGUUUAAUGUGUUUAACUGUUUCUUAUGAAGGUAGUUCUAAUUAUGUAUGUAUGUAUUUUUCAAAGCCUGUAUGUUAAGGUUCUUUCUGAUAUUGAAAGAUAUGGAUAUGUUUGUUAAUUCACUGUAAUGUUAUUCUGAAAGUUAUUUUUUGUGUUAAAUCAAAGUUUAGUCCUUACUGUCAUCUAACUUGAAGAUGAUGGAUUUUACAUGUUCUCUAUUCGUUAAGUGGUGAUGGAGAGUUCACAUCAUGUCAGACAUUGUGAUAGUGGCUGAAAAUAAAUAGUGGGGAUCCAAGCUGAUAGAUCCCUGUUAAGAUAAAGGCAUGUAUGUCCCAUCUCUUGUAACUGUUUAGAAGAAUGUCAGUUGUUAUUUAUCAAAACUUCCAACAUAUCUGAUAUUGAAGCUUUAAAAACUACAAUGUCCUAAUUAUCCUUUGGAUAUUUUAUGUCUUCCUUGUGAGGCAUAAUGCUUUAUUUUGUAUUAAUUAUGCAAUGAUUCUCUAUGAUUUGGAAUAAUAUAGUUUAUUUACUGAUGUAUUUUAACACAAAAAAUACAUGAAAAUAAAACCUUUCCAAAAAAAUCACACCU